RNAcentral lists this long non-coding RNA (1114 nucleotides) under Felis catus (domestic cat). Its description in RNAcentral is "lncRNA (ENSFCAG00000050839.1)". The record is from RNAcentral. Lineage: Eukaryota; Metazoa; Chordata; Mammalia; Carnivora; Felidae.
GCUGAGUCAGGGUGUGGGGCUCUGAUUGGCUGGGCAGAGUCACUGACCUGGAAUCAGGAAGCUAAGGCCAGCCCCACCUUAAUCGGUCGGUGGCAGAUUUCCCCAAAGAAGUCAAGACGUGCUACCAAAGAGAAAGGGGAAUGGAUACUAGGCAUCGAAAAUCAGCAGAACUCUUACGGGCACGUGGUGGAGGAGCGGAGGGAGGCUGGGCAGACUUUAUACCAACCGUUCCUGCCUCCGGGGCCCAGCAUUCUAACAACUUCCCACCCUCCGAGGCAGUCAUACAAAGCAGAGCCGAUUCCUCCGGGAGCCGAGAGAAGUGCAUCAGCAGCUUUAGCUCUGCCAUUCCCUUACACGUAUUUAACCUCCUGGACGCAAGAAUUCAAUCUGGCUUGUCUGCCUCUCCCCACGGACCUCAGAAUCCAGCCGGAGCCACUCCAACAGCUGUGUUUCCCGCUCGGAAGGAAAGAGACCAAAUAAAGCAGCAGGACGAAUUACGUGUGCAGAAAAGCGCAGCGUGGGAUUCCGAGUCCAAAGUGUUACUAGGUUUCGGGGGGCGAAAAGAGGUCUCCAGCAAAAUAUUUCAAAAUCCAGAUUCAAGAGAGGCAACUCACAACUUAAAGAUUGCCCAGAUAUCUGCCCUCCGAGGAUCAGCAUUGCAAAAGUGGAUGUUAAAAGUCAGACAAGGAAAUGGAAAAACAGCAGCUCAAGAACCAGACUGGCGUGCAAAUGCUGGCAUCCCAUCCAAGGAGUGUGUGCCCCGGGAGCUGUCUGCCAGGCUCUGUCCAGGUCUGCCAUGGUGGGGACAGUGCUGCUGCUGUUGUUAUCUGGUCAUCGGACACGGUCACUCACCACAUUCCCCAGCGGGGCUUAUAGACAACAAAGGGGCCGAGGUAGUUUUCAAGGGCUGCGUGGCAACAGGGUGUCAUUCUUCGCAUAUAAAGGUGACGUUACUGGUCUGCAGUCCCGAGCAAGAAGCCUCAUCAAGCCCUGGAAAGGGAUUGGCCCGGAUCCUUCUCCAAGCUCCUCCCCCUGUAUCUCUCCAUUUGCCCCAAAACAGUGGGGCCCAUUUGCAGGUCAGCUGGAGAAACGGAGAGGGCAGCCCUUGACCUGA